Long non-coding RNA from Sciurus carolinensis (gray squirrel), 722 nucleotides. RefSeq lists it as uncharacterized. The transcript has 7 exons. NCBI's taxonomy places the organism in Eukaryota, Metazoa, Chordata, Mammalia, Rodentia, Sciuridae. The record is from RefSeq and is a predicted model, not a curated record.
CAGUGUCGCUCGGGUCUCCAACCUCGGCACCGCAUGGCUUCCCCUGUCCUGCCUUCAGCUGUGACUCCGAAAGGCGGGGAAAGGAGGCCCCAUGGCUGGGCUGCACUUUAGCUCUGUGGCCCGGACGCAAGGGCGUGAUAAAGAGUGGUGGAGGAACUAGGAGAGGGGAAUGCGGGUCCCCUGCCGGAAGCAGCCCCGCCCCUCAGGCCAAGAGUAAUUAACAGGAUUGGGGAAUGGUUAUCGCCAAGGGAAACUUGAUGCAUAGUGGUGAUAACAGAAAUAGCUGACUUGCUUAUGAAGAUAAUCCUAUUUUUUAAAAUACAUAGAAUUUUUUGAAUCCUGUCUAGGACACCGCAUUACUCUUAGGCAUCAUGUUUCCUUGGGCUCUGCUUGAUUGUGACAGUGUCUCCGACUUUCCUUGCUUGAAUCGCCUUGACGGAUUUGAGGAGUAGUGGUCAGGCAGAAUGCUGGUCUUGAACUUUUCUGGGCUCCAGGAAUCCUCUUGCCUCAGCCUCUUGAGUCACUGUGACUGGUCUCACUAAGUUGCUUAGGCCUCACUCAAUUGAUGAGUCUGCUCUCGAAUUUUCAAUCCUCCUGCCUCAGCCUCCUGAGUCUCUGGAAUUACAAGUGUGCCCCUCUGCACCCAGCAUGUUCUUUGAUUUCAUUGCUGGGUAUUAAAGGGUCUUGAUUGUGGAACCAACCUAGAUGCCCCUCAGUAGAAG